Ornithorhynchus anatinus (platypus) is the source of this 466-nucleotide long non-coding RNA. RefSeq lists it as uncharacterized. The transcript is spliced from 3 exons. Lineage: Eukaryota; Metazoa; Chordata; Mammalia; Monotremata; Ornithorhynchidae. The record is from RefSeq and is a predicted model, not a curated record.
UACUCUGCCAAGCACUUGGUACAGUGUUCUUCAAACGGUUAUUCAUCACUUUAAACAAUGGUGGAAACAGCAUUUCUAACCAUGUCCACAGUUAAAUUUGUGGGAAGCAACUUUGGAAGGAAGGAGAAAGAUCAGAAUAGCUAAGACAGAAGAGAGGUGUUAAUAGGUUCAGAUUUUGUCUGCAGAGAGAUCCCUGGAAACCUCAGUGGCUUUAAUGUGUUCCCAAAGAAAUGUUCCAAUAGAUAUUCCCUCCUCUGACAUCCAUUAGCAGUUUUGUCCUACAGAGAAGAGAUUGCAUCUUGGACUUUCUCUGCAUAUAACCCAAGCUCCUUGUAUGUUAGAUUCUCAGUCAGUGCUUCUAUUUUUGAUGAUAUUUAAUAAACAUACAUCAACUAUAAAUAUAUCUUCUCCACCCCUUCCCCUAUCUGUAAUUUAUUUUAGCAUCUGUCUUCCCAACUAGACUAUA